CGCGUAGGCGGCGUGUUAAGUCAGCUGUGAAAUCUCCGAGCUUAACUCGGAACGGUCAGCUGAUACUGAUGUGCUAGAGUGCAGAAGGGGCAAUCGGAAUUCUUGGUGUAGCGGUGAAAUGCGUAGAUAUCAAGAGGAACACCUGAGGUGAAGACGGGUUGCUGGGCUGACACUGACGCUGAGGCGCGAAAGCCAGGGGAGCAAACGGGAUUAGAUACCCCGGUAGUCCUGGCCCUAAACGAUGAAUACUUGGUGUCUGGAGUUAUUAUUGCUCCGGGUGCCGUCGCUAACGUUUUUAGUAUUCCGCCUGGGGAGUACGCACGCAAGUGUGAA
RNAcentral lists this ribosomal RNA (333 nucleotides) under uncultured Acidobacteriota bacterium. RNAcentral describes it as "bacterial SSU rRNA". It matches the Rfam family "Bacterial small subunit ribosomal RNA", at positions 568 to 898 of the family's 1533-position model. The record is from RNAcentral. Lineage: Bacteria; Pseudomonadati; Acidobacteriota.